AGCAUUUGUAAUUGCUCUAAACCUACGACGACGCUUCGAACUCGGACCAUUGUAACGGAACUCAAGAGGGAACAACCAGUACCUUCUAAUAAAGAAUCACAACAAGUAGCCUAGAAAGAGAAAUCUACGAUAAUUCAUAGCUACACAAUCCAGCCAACAGUAUCAGCAGCAGGAAAAUUGUUGUCACCUCUUUUGAUAAUUUUAAAAGAGCCAUCCCGGCGGUUGGGGCCAAUUGUAGAAUGAACCAUUUUUCGACCUCCUAAUGUCGUUAUAAGCGUUUCAAAAUCUGGCAAGGCUACAUCAGAACAUUUCAAAGUAUGGCUUCAAGAAGUGUUUUUCCCAAACGUCGGCGAGAAAAGUGUGCUUUUGAUAGAUUCAUGGAGUGGACAUUGUCCCAGUGUUGUCACGGAAAUUACACCACGUACCAAAGAAAUUGUUACAACGAUCAUACCAAAGGGAACGACAGGGAAUAUCCAGCCACUCGAUGUCUUCGGAUUUAGAAUUUGGAAAAAUUAUGUCAAACAUUUUUCAGACAGUGUCAUAUUACUUGAUUAUGAUUUAAGUCUACAUUUACGAAAUAAUAUAAUAAAGCUGCAAUCUCUAGUACAUAAUCAAUUAUCAUCUCCGAGGUACGAAAAUUUAUUUCGAUAUGCCUGAUUCAAAAGUGGGUACAUAGAAGAACGACCUGAGAAUUUCGAAAAUCCCGUUGAAUUUGCUUUUGGUAUAUCAUCUCAAACACGAUGUGAAAUUGAAGACUGCACAAAUGUGGCUGUAGUAAAAUGUUCGUGGUGUAAAAAAUCACUUUGUUUCAAACAUUUCUUCGAAGAACAUCAUUACUGUUCAAAAUAUAAUCCAUAAGUUCAGAAAUGAUCAUUGAAACGAAAAUCUGAAUUGGAAUUUAUUUUUACUACAUGAAGGAUUUUAGCGCCUAUGUAUAUCCUAUAUAUAUAGAUAUAAAUAUAUAUGUUUGUAUACAGCUCAUGUAUUCACGAAAAUAAAAAAUUGUGAAGGUUGCGACCAUGGAAGAUGUAGGAGUACUCAAUUUUUCAUAUAAUUUAAAAAGCCGAUGUAUAUGUAAAUAACAUAUUAUUUAGAAUGUAAGUCG
This 1105-nucleotide long non-coding RNA is filed under the name Venturia canescens. RNAcentral's name for it is "uncharacterized LOC122413180, transcript variant X2". Lineage: Eukaryota; Metazoa; Arthropoda; Insecta; Hymenoptera; Ichneumonidae. The record is from RNAcentral.